Molecule: long non-coding RNA, 1695 nt
Filed under: Zea mays
Lineage: Eukaryota; Viridiplantae; Streptophyta; Magnoliopsida; Poales; Poaceae
Description: long non-coding RNA (ZMAY_LNC000076)
Source: RNAcentral
GGACCCGGACUACUUUCGGCUCCGUUCGGGGUCGUCGUGAGGGGCGAUCCUAGACAAUAGAGUUAUUGAGGUAGCGGAAUUUUUAUGAAUUUCAAUAUUAUAAUGAGUUUUAGGAUUGGAUUAGUGGCAAACCCAUAGUCAGCUUCCUGUGAAGGUCUUACCUUACUACGUUUUAUAUUCGCACUUUGAUUUAUGUUAAGUUAAAGACUAUAUGGAUGUCUUCGACAUCAUGAUAUAAUAAAGUAUACUCUUUACGCUAUUAUUUGAGCAUUGUGUGAUGAUGUCCAGUUAUGUAAUCGUUGUGUAUGUGAAUUUCUGAUCUAGACACAUACAUGGUUUAUAUUUGGUUUGCCUUCUAAAACCUAGUGUGAUAGUACCAGACAUGCUAGCGGCCUGGGCACGGUUUAGUUCGAUGAACCGGUGUUUUCUGUUCGGUGCAACCCUAAAACCAAAGCCGGCGUCUAAACCCUAAUUGAAACCAAACCCGAAAAAACAAAAAAUUGGGUAGGUUGUUUGGUUUCUGCUUAAAAAUGCCCAGGACUAACCACGUCUAUUCAAGUGCGUCACUGCGUCCCAUUCGUUGGGGCAAGUGCGGCUAGGGGUGAAAACGGGAUAGGAUUACCCGACGGGUACCAGAUACGAAUACUUAAAAUACCCGUUUUUUGGGUACCAGAUACGAGUAAUUUUGUAUACAGGUCGGAUAAGGAUACUACCCGGAUAUACAACAGUCGGAUACGGGUAGGAUACAAGAUGACCACUACCCGACAAAUACCCGAGAAGUACGAGUACGAUACGGGUACUCGGUUAGUAGUGGGGCAAUAUGAAAGAGAAGUUUGAUAAAUAUUGGAACAUGAACAAUAUGGCUUUAGCAGUGGGGGCAUUUCUUGAUCCUAGGUACAAACACAAAAUGGUGGAGUUGUACAUGUCUAAGAUGUAUGAGAGUGAGAGGGCUGAGCUAGAGAAGUUGUUUUUCAUUAAUGUCAUAAAUGAGUUAUUUGCUUUUUAUUCAUCAAACAUCAAUGCAAAAACAACCAAUAUGGCUUUUACCUCCAAGGAGACUGAACUUGUUCCACACAAAAAUGGUUCUUUCAUGGAUGGUGAGGAUGAGGUAGAUCUUAAUGAGUUGUAUGCAACAACAAACAAUGUGGAGAAGGUUUCAGAAUUGGAUGUGUAUACGAGUGAGGGUUUGGUGAAGGUCAAUGAAGGUGAUGCUCCAUUUGAUAUCCUAACUUGGUGGAGGGGGCAAGUGACAAAUCUUCCUAUCCUUUCAACCCUUGCUCGUGAUGUGUUAUCUAUGUAAGUUUCUACUGUUGCUUCGGAGUCAUCAUUUAGCUCUAGUGGAUGUAUUGUUGAUGCCUUUCAUUCAAAACUUAAACAUGAAAUUAUUGAGGCCUUGGUUUGUACCAUGUAUUAGAUUGCUUCAGAGAAAGGUUUGAUUUCAUUAUACAUGUGUUUGUUGUUCAUUUGUGAUUGUUUAUUUAUGUGCAUGUGACUUGAUGACGCUUACUUAUAUGUUUUUUGUUCUCAACAAUUUCAGAUUUAGACACUGAAAUUAAAACCACAAGUGAAGAUAUGAAUGCAAUGGACUUGGACGAAGAUGCUAUUGCGGUGACUUGAUACAUUGAAGCAUGUGUUGCAUUGAAUAUUGUUAUGUCAUUUGAGUUAUGAUGUUUGCACUUUUGUGUGACUGGCACU